CUCCUCUGAGUUUGUUACUGUAGAAGUUACAGAAUUGUCACAGCUUAUUGGAGAGGAAUUUAAGCUGGAAAUUGAAACCAAGUAGAGAAAGUAAGUUCUCACUAUAGCUGCAAUGCAAAAAUAAGUAGUACCUUUUUUUUCCCAAUGUUCAUGAAGUGUCAUGUUUUGUAUAAGAACUAAGUACCACAGAAUAAUGUCAAAAACUCAGCAUGGCUAUGAAGCUCAAUUAUGAAAAUAUCUGUAUGUCAAUAUGAAUGGCAAGUACUACCUAUUACUGGAGGUAGCUUAUAUUUGAUGCACUAAAUGUAGCAGUUACUCUUAUAAUUUUUUACACUCUACCUAACAACUUUACACGUUUAAAACAAUAAUUUGGAUGUUUAUUAUUAACCAUGCAUAACUAAGAAAUAUUCUUUAUCUCCUCAGUGACAUCAAUUCUUGUAGUUUUUUUUAACUUGACAGACUAAUAUGCAUGAUACAGCACCCUAAAUGACUUCAAUCAAUAUAGAAAUCCCAACUUACAUGCAGGUUUGACAUUAUUUUAUUAUUUGUUACUUGAAAUGCUAGAAUUAAUUAUUUACUCAUAAACCAGCUAAAAUACUGGAAACAUUUUUUUUAACAUUUAUAUUCAAGCACGAAACCUUAGGAGAAAUUGAACUCCUUAAUCCUUAUCACUCAUCAAAAACAGACUUGAUUACCACUCCUUUAAAUUAAAUACUUUCUCUUGCAAACCACAAGUUAAUAAAACAUUUUGCAUAAAGAUGCAAACCAUGAUUCAUGAAUAGCAACAUCAGAUUAUAUUUACAACUCAAAUAAUCCUGAUUGAUAAAAAAAUUAAACCUUAAAGAAGUUAACACAACAAUAUAAUUGAUAUUGAUAUAUUCAUAAUGUUGGGUAAUAGAAGAGUGUAAUAUCUAUGUAAUAUAAGUGUAAAAAUUUAUAUACAGUUACUAUAUUAUUUAACAUUUAUUUCUAUUAAAUAUAAAUGAUAGACGUGCAUGCCCAAUUUUGUCCGGCCAGAAUAAUUUUUCAAAAAUAAAAAUAAACAUGUGUCAAAAAUGCUUAAUGAGUAAUUGUUGGCUCAAUAAUCAUGAGAUAUUAUCUUAUUUUCCUUUUUAAUUUGUAAACAAUUUUUUAAAUGGGUAUUCAAUGACUAAAUGAGCACUUACUAUCAUAAUUCAUAAUUAUAGACAGAUUCCAUUUCUGGAAAAAUAAAAUACAUGUUAAAUGUCACAUAAUUUUCGUUUUCUUAAUUAAAUAAAAAUAAAAAGUGUAUUAAAAGUAUCUUCAAAUGGUUGUUUUUUGCUGUAUUGGUAGCUAAUGCAAUAAUUUGGAAUUUUGUAAUGACACUAUGAACUUUACACCACCUUCACCCUUUCCACUUUACCAUAAAAUAUUUGCACUAAGGCAAUAAAAGUGGAUUCACCACUGUGACUUGCAUCCAAAGAAGACUAGAACAGCACACAUUAGCAAGUUAUUCAUUCAUCAUAUAUACUGAAACAAUCUUAAGCAAAAAUGAUUUUUCAUUCACUGUUUAUACAUGUUAUAAUGCUACCUACAUAAACACCUUUCGCUGAUAAAUCAAAAUCAGUAUAUUAAAAACAUUCAAUUAACUUGAAAAUCAAAAGACAUUACUUCACUUUGGCGUUAUACACCAAUAUCACCGCAUUUAGGGGUAACUGUUCGCCAACGCUGCAACGGUGGUUGCUGCCGUAACCACACACCCAUCCUGGUGGCUGGACUCCUAUCGUCCUUGCGUCGACACCAUGGAAGCCACACACCACUCGGCGGCUGCCUCCGCCAGUUCUGGCUAUGGUUGCCGCCGCAUGAAAUUUGUGGUCUAGGGAUUUCAAUUUUCAAUCCCUUUGGUUCUUUCUUUUGUUGCUGGAGAGGGGUAACGUGCUGUUGUCCUUUUCUUUUUCUUCACAAGUAUCCUUUCGAGGCAAAAUCCUAUUCGAGGAGGGAAUUCACACACAGGUAAGGCUAACUCUCCCGACAAAGAUUUUUCAUUUAUA
Molecule: long non-coding RNA, 2012 nt
Filed under: Lupinus angustifolius (narrow-leaved blue lupine)
Lineage: Eukaryota; Viridiplantae; Streptophyta; Magnoliopsida; Fabales; Fabaceae
Description: long non-coding RNA (LANG_LNC002381)
Source: RNAcentral